RNAcentral lists this transfer RNA (86 nucleotides) under Chloroflexota bacterium. RNAcentral's name for it is "Chloroflexi bacterium (bioreactor metagenome) tRNA-Leu". It matches the Rfam family "tRNA". Rfam says of the family: Transfer RNA (tRNA) molecules are approximately 80 nucleotides in length. Their secondary structure includes four short double-helical elements and three loops (D, anti-codon, and T loops). The record is from RNAcentral. Lineage: Bacteria; Bacillati; Chloroflexota.
GGGGCGGUGGCGGAACUGGCAGACGCAGGGGACUUAAAAUCCUCCGAGGUUUAUCCCUCUUGUGGGUUCGAUUCCCACCCGCCCCA